Molecule: long non-coding RNA, 242 nt
Organism: Nannospalax galili (Upper Galilee mountains blind mole rat)
Lineage: Eukaryota; Metazoa; Chordata; Mammalia; Rodentia; Spalacidae
Exons: 2
Source: RefSeq, a predicted model, not a curated record
GCGGCGGGCGAGGGGCGGGGCGGGGAGCGGCAUAUAUAAGGCGAGGGGCGGGCGCCGCUCUUUUGUCUCUUGCUGCAGCGACGCGAGUGGGAGCACUAGCAGCGCGGGCUCGGAGUGGGACUCUACGGAUUGUUGUAAGAAUAUGGCAGACAAGCCGGACAUGGGAGAAAUCGCCAGCUUCGAUAAGGCCAAGCUGAAGAAAACCGAGACGCAGGAAAAGAACACCCUGCCGACCAAAGAGA